RNAcentral lists this ribosomal RNA (292 nucleotides) under uncultured bacterium. Its description in RNAcentral is "partial 16S ribosomal RNA". The record is from RNAcentral.
GGACUACUGGGGUUUCUAAUCCUGUUUGCUCCCCACGCUUUCGUAGUUUAGUGUCAGUUAUUGUCCAGUUCGCCGCCUUCGCCUCUGGUAUUCCUCUUGAUCUCUACGCAUUUCACCGCUACACCAAGAAUUCUGCGAACCUCUCCAAUACUCUAGUGACACCGUUUCCAAGGCACUUCCUGAGUUAAGCUCAGGGAUUUCACCCCAGACAAAUGUCACCACCUACCUACCCUUUACGCCCAAUAAUUCCGAGCAACGCUUGCACCCUUCGUAUUACCGCGGCUGCUGGCAC